RNAcentral lists this ribosomal RNA (253 nucleotides) under uncultured bacterium. RNAcentral describes it as "partial 16S ribosomal RNA". It matches the Rfam family "Bacterial small subunit ribosomal RNA", at positions 524 to 776 of the family's 1533-position model. The record is from RNAcentral.
UACGUAGGGGGCGAGCGUUGUCCGGAUUUAUUGGGCGUAAGGAGCGUGUAGGCGGCCAGGUAGGUCCGUUGUGAAAACUCGAGGCUCAACCUCGAGACGUCGAUGGAAACCAUCUGGCUAGAGUCCGGAAGAGGAGAAUGGAAUUCCCGGUGUAGCGGUGAAAUGCGCAGAUAUCGGGAAGAACACCCGUGGCGAAGGCGGUUCUCUGGGACGGUACUGACGCUGAGACGCGAAAGCUAGGGUAGCAAACGGG